Molecule: long non-coding RNA, 2582 nt
Filed under: Capra hircus (goat)
Lineage: Eukaryota; Metazoa; Chordata; Mammalia; Artiodactyla; Bovidae
Description: lncRNA (ENSCHIG00000007209.1)
Source: RNAcentral
AUGUGUCACUCUUGGAUCUCUGGGCCCUUGAGAGGAGAAUUAAGACUCCACACUUCAGCAUGGGCUAGGAUGAAGGCUUCGACGGCUCACAAACAUUCUUCUGUUGUCCAUUGCUUCAGAAAGAAGCUUAUCGUUUCCCCAAAUUCCUGGUUUUCCAAAAUCCUCAAGAGAAGAAAAAUGUCUGAAAGUGUCAUACUCCUUUAUCAUCACCUGCUACAAAAACUUGAGUACAAUUGGCAUCUGCUCAUCUCACGUGCUCAACUCAGAUGUCUGAUGUGUGGUAUUCAAGCAAGUGAGAUGCUUCCAGGGGCCUGACCCUCUCCUUCAUCAUGUCCAUAGUCAGAAUGUCUGUGGAAUUGAUCUCUGCAACUGAAGGAAUAGAUGUCAGUAAAGUAGAUGGGCCAUUCAUUGAACAAACACUUACUGAGCACCUAUCCUAUGCUGGACACUGGGCUAGUUCUUCUCAGUCAGCACAGUGAGUCAGCUGGACUCAGACCUUGGCAAGGGAAGAAAGCAAGUAUGGGGUUCCCCAGAGAGCACGUUGAUGCAGUGUGACCCUGUAAGCUUUCCUCUGUUUCCUAUUGCAGACUCCUCUCCUAGAAUGUCCCACCAUGCUCACUGUCGUUGUCCUUUCCUCUGUUACUGCCUUUCCUCCACCAAGGCUGAGGUGCCAAUUCAAAUCCUACCAUCGUUGGAAACCAGCUGAAGACUUACAUUUUCCCUCAGCUCUGAAGGCUUUCAAUGCUCACCCCUUCUCCUUAUCUACGAAAGCCCAUUGAACAUGCCUCUCUGCUACGUGUUAGGGCAACCACCUAUGACAGCUUUUUUGACUUAACCAUUUAUGACUUAACCAUUUUGGGGAGGCAGGCUAUUCUCUUUAUAUCAAGUUUCUUUAAGAAAAUGGUCUUGUUUCCUCUCAAGUUAAUGGAUUCAAAGUAGCUAACCCAUUGGAGGUAUCUGUGGUUAGGUCCUACACAACAUCUUUCAGUAAGAGAUGCGUGAUAAGUAAAUGUUGACUAGAAGUGAACUUGAUCUUGCUCUCUCUUUUUUUUUUUUUACCCCUGGAAGAUGCAAAGAGAAGUUGUGACUCCCUUUAUCCAUAUGGCUUUGCCUCCUAGCCUCCUAGCCUUGGGCACAUGAGAAUUAUUAUUAUUAUUUUUUUUUGGUGACUUAAAAUGUGAGUUUGAGUGAACUCUAGGAGUUGGUGAUGGACAGGGAGGCCUGGUGUGCUGCAAUUCAUGGGGUCGUACAGAGUCGGACACGACUGAGCGACUGAACUGAACUGAAAACAACAGAAAUUUAUUCUCUACACUUCCUGAGUGAGGCCAGAAGUCCCAAAUCAAGAUGUUGGCAAAGUUGGUUCCUUUUGGAUGCCCUAAGGGAGAGUCUGUUGCAUGCCUCUCUCCUAGCUGCUGCUGGCAAGACCUGAUGUUGGUUGGGUUGUGGGUGUGUCACUUCGUCUUCACCUUGGUCUUCACAUGGUGAUUUCCCUUCCACCGUGUGUCUGCUUUCUGUGUGUCCACUUCUCUUCUUGUAAGAGCACCAUCCUUCGGAUGCAGGGCCCACUUUAAUCUAGUAUGACCUCACCCUAACAUAACUAAUUGCAUCUGCAAAGACUGUGUUUCCAAAUAAAGUCACGUUCUGAGAUUCUGGGUGAACAUAAGUUUUGGAGACACACUAGUCAACUCACUGAACUAACUAAAGGCCACAAAUAUUUUCUUCUAUGUUUUCUUCUACAAGUUUUAUAACGUUUGGUGUCACAUUUAGUUCUGUGAUGCAUACUGGUUUAAUUUUUGUAUUUGAUGGUAGUUAUAGGUAAAUGUUUAUUUUUGUUCUUAUGGAGUCCAAUUACUCAAAAACUAUUUGUUGAAAAGAUUGUCUUCUACCUUGAGUUGUCUUUGCAUCUUUGUUGAAAAUUGAUUGAUCAUAUAUGUAUAAGUCUAUUGCCAGACUCUGUUGACUUUUUGGUCAAUAUCACACUGUCUUGAUUCCUAUAGUUUUAUAGUAAGUCUUCAGAUCAGGUAUGGUGAAUACUCUAGCAAAAUUCUUCAGAAUUAUUUUAGACAUUGUAGUUAAAUUGCUUUUCUAUACACUUUUGAUAAUCAUAUUUAUUGGGGCAUCAUAUUUAUUGAAAUAGGCUGAAGACAGAGCGGACUCAGUAUAAGCUGAGAUAAUCUGCUCUGAAGAACAGCACACAAAGGUUCCAGUAGCUGCAGAAGGAUAUGUGGUAAGAGUGUACAUUUCUUUUUUUUUGUCUUAAAAAAAAUUUAUUUAUUUUAAUUGGAGGCUAAUUACUUUACAAUAUUCUAGUGGUUUUGCCAUACAUUGCCAUGAAUCAGCCAUGGUUGUACAUGUGUCGCCCAUCCUGAAACCCAGUCCCACCUCCCUCCCCAUCCCCAUCCCCAUCCCCAUCCCUUAGGUCAUCCCAGUGCAUCGCCGCUGAGCACCCUGUCUCAUGCAUCGAACCUGGACUGGCGAUCUAUUUCACAUAUGGUAAUAUACAUAUUUCAAUGCUAUUCUCUCAAAUCGUUCCACUCUCACCUUCUCCCACCACGUCCAAAACUCUGUUCUUUACAUCUGUG